Molecule: ribosomal RNA, 443 nt
Filed under: uncultured bacterium
Lineage: Bacteria
Description: partial 16S ribosomal RNA
Rfam family: Bacterial small subunit ribosomal RNA
Source: RNAcentral
CCUACGGGUGGCUGCAGUGGGGAAUAUUGGGCAAUGGGCGCAAGCCUGACCCAGCAACGCCGCGUGAAGGAAGAAGGCUUUCGGGUUGUAAACUUCUUUUCUGCGGGACGAAGAAAGUGACGGUACCUCAGGAAUAAGCCACGGCUAACUACGUUCAAACAGCCGCGGUAAUACGUCGGGUGCAAGCUUUAUCCGGAUUUGUUGGGUGUAAAGGGCGUGUAGGCGGGACAGCAAGUCAGAUGUGAAAACUCCGGGCUCAACCCUGCGCCUGCAUUUGAAACUGUGUUUCUGGAGUGCUGGAGAGGCAAGCGGAAUCCCGGGUGUAGCGGUGAAAUGCGUAGAUAUAAGGAGGAACACCAGUGGCGAAGGCGGAUUGCUGGACAGUAACUGACGCUGAGGCGCGAAAGCGUGGGGAGCAAACAGGAUUAGAUACCCUUGUAGUC